AAACUGGAGAGUUUGAUCCUGGCUCAGAACGAACGCUGGCGGCGUGCUUAACACAUGCAAGUCGAACGCGAAAGUUUCUUUCGGGAAGCGAGUAGAGU
RNAcentral lists this ribosomal RNA (98 nucleotides) under Desulfocapsaceae bacterium. Its description in RNAcentral is "partial 16S ribosomal RNA". It matches the Rfam family "Bacterial small subunit ribosomal RNA", at positions 1 to 96 of the family's 1533-position model. Lineage: Bacteria; Pseudomonadati; Thermodesulfobacteriota; Desulfobulbia; Desulfobulbales; Desulfocapsaceae. The record is from RNAcentral.